UACGUAGGGGGCGAGCGUUAUCCGGAUUCAUUGGGCGUAAAGCGCGCGUAGGCGGCCGCCUAAGCGGAACCUCUAACCCCGGGGCUCAACCUCGGGCCGGGUUCCGGACUGGGCGGCUCGAGUGCGGUAGAGGAGAGCGGAAUUCCCGGUGUAGCGGUGGAAUGCGCAGAUAUCGGGAAGAACACCGAUGGCGAAGGCAGCUCUCUGGGCCGUCACCGACGCUGAGGCGCGAAAGCUGGGGGAGCGAACAGG
This 252-nucleotide ribosomal RNA is filed under the name uncultured bacterium. Its description in RNAcentral is "partial 16S ribosomal RNA". It matches the Rfam family "Bacterial small subunit ribosomal RNA", at positions 524 to 776 of the family's 1533-position model. The record is from RNAcentral.